RNAcentral lists this long non-coding RNA (1972 nucleotides) under Ananas comosus (pineapple). RNAcentral describes it as "long non-coding RNA (ACOM_LNC017658)". The record is from RNAcentral. Lineage: Eukaryota; Viridiplantae; Streptophyta; Magnoliopsida; Poales; Bromeliaceae.
UGUGACGUGGACAAUCUAUAUAUAUUAGAUCGAGUGGCAUAUGAUUAGUAUAGUAGAAACACUUAUGGCAUGUUGAACACUUAGAAAAUAAGUGUGGCAUGAGUCCAAGAAUAUAGUAGUGUAUAUGACACAAGUGAUAGUAAAGAAUGCAAAGAAAAGAAUGAUGGAAAUAUUAUGACAUUUCAACCCUAGAGUUAGGGUCAUUUGAGCAUAGUCUUCCUAAAGUUAAGGAAUGGAUUGAACUUGACAUCCUCAAGAUUUUGGAUUUGAUCAUUGAUCAUACUCACCUUUAGUCCUUGCUCGAGGUUGUGGUAGCUCCCCCUCGGGCGAUGUGCUCCGGAGUCGACAUCACUGGGUUGUAGCGGUUAUCUCCCCAGAGGACGGUCCCACCGGGUUGUAGCGGGUAUCUCCCCGGUUAAUGGGAUUUUGGGUUGGUGAGUUUGUUGAGGGCGAAACCUUCGGGUUAGCCAAGUGAUUGGGUAAUAAACUUAUGAGCUAUAGUGAUGUCCUAGUUGAGGGGAUUUAAGGCCGAGGUGCAAGUGAGACGUCCUUCGCCUCGGGCCUGGCUUUGUGCGGUACUCCGCAGACGAUUGACUCAAGACCGAGUCGGGCGGUUAGCUUUGUAAAGAUAGAUGAAACUUUAUGAUUAAAAUGGUAAAUGACAGAAAACCUUAAAUGUCAAUUGGAUGAAAGUAGUAAUCGAUUGAAUUACUAGUUGAUUGUAUAGUCGCAUCAUUGCAUGAUCUUCAUAUUGCAUUCGUGAGGCAAUGCAUGGUUUUAUUCGUUGCAUAAUCAAGAUAUAUAUCUAUCUGUUUAUUGAACUAACUUGCAGUUGCCUCCCCGGUUAAUGGGAUUUUGGGUUGGUGAGUUUGUUGAGGGCGAAACCUUCGGGUUAGCCAAGUGAUUGGGUAAUAAACUUAUGAGCUAUAGUGAUGUCCUAGUUGAGGGGAUUUAAGGCCGAGGUGCAAGUGAGACGUCCUUCGCCUCGGGCCUGGCUUUGUGCGGUACUCCGCAGACGAUUGACUCAAGACCGAGUCGGGCGGUUAGCUUUGUAAAGAUAAAUGAAAACUUUAUGAUUAAAAUGGUAAAUGACAGAAAACCUUAAAUGUCAAUUAGAUGAAAGUAGUAAUCGAUUGAAUUACUAGUUGAUUGUAUAGUCGCAUCAUUGCAUGAUCUUCAUAUUGCAUUCGUGAGGCAAUGCAUGGUUUUAUUCGUUGCAUAAUCAAGAUAUAUAUCUAUCUGUUUAUUGAACUAACUUGCAGUUGCCUCCCUUGGACCUAUUGGUCGAGCUUUUCCCUUGGGUGGCCGUACCUACUGGGAACCAUGGAGUUGGUUCUCACCCUACGUGGUUUUCGGGUGUUACAGGUUCACACGUGAGCGGCGCGGCGGCACGAGGCGAGGGCGUAUCUCCCUAGUUAGCGCCCUACCACCGAGACCAGAGAUAGAGGUACCCUGAGUCGGCCUUUACUCAGGGAUGUAAGAAAAUGAAAAGAAUCAAGUUGUAAUAAUUUGUAAUAAAAGCUUGAUUGUAUUUGGAAGUUAAAUGUAAUAAGUAAUUGCGAUGUAAAAUGUAUCUAGUGAAUGUGAAUGCUUGUAAUAACAAGUAGAUUAUGUUUUUGAUACUUCCUUAUGCAAUCUUUGAUUGAAAUGUGUUCCUAGUUGGAACUUUGUACAUUGUAUUGAUUGCGACGCCUUGAAUGUACAGGGGAGACUCUGUCCGCGGUGCAGGGGAAAUCCUGUCCGUUCGGCGGUCUGUUGCGGCGCCGCGACCCGGCCAAAUAGACGGGCGGUCGCGGGGCGUGACAACGUAUAAUAUCCGUAUAAAUUACAUAUCCGAAUAAUUGGCGAAUUCGUUUUUUAGCCCUUUUUUUCAACGAAUUUAAAAAUUAGAAGACGAAUUUUAUUCGAAUUAUACCCGUACCGAAUUUUUGCCGAAUCCGAAUUAACUAACUAAGGCCAAAACCCAAAAAAU